GAACCGAGAUCGGAGGGGGCGUGGCCAACCCGCUCGGCCGCGCCCCGAGCGCAGCUGAGCCCGCCGCGGGGACGCGGUGGCCGGUUCUCAUUGGGUCGGUGCUGGUGCCGCGUUUGUUCGGUGCGUUCCCCUGUGUGUCUGGUUGGUGUUGGUGCCUCGGUUGUUUCACGGCAGCGCAGCCGAGCCCGCAGCGAGGACGUGCUGGACACGGACGGGGCGUGAAGGAGCUGCAGGUGCCUGCGGGCAGGUCCCGGACAGAGGCAGCGGCGGGCAAGGGUUAAAACCUACAAUGGCCUCAAUAAAGGGGUGGUGGAAAGUGGCCGCAUGUCGCCGUGGUCCUUACGGGUCCCUCUCGUCCCCAGCCCGGGGCGGGGGGGUCAGGCCGAGCCGUGCCCUGAGCUCCCCCGGCCCAUCCCACACCAGCGACUGUUCCCAGACACCUUGCCCCCCCCUCCCCGAUGCGGGGACCCGGGUUCUCGCCGCCAGCUCCAGCUCCAGCCUGUGCAGCUUCAAGCCUGUUUGCGGUUCCAGCUCCUCUGCAGCUGCUUCUGGUUCCAGUUGUUCUGCAGCUCCAGCUCGUUGUGCUUGUUCCACUGAGCUUGGCCUUGGGCCAGAUUGUAAAUCAAUCACUGUCACAAGCUGCCUAUGAAUAUGACACAUGAAUAAAUAUGAACCAAUUAUCUAAUAA
Columba livia (rock pigeon) is the source of this 688-nucleotide long non-coding RNA. RefSeq lists it as uncharacterized. Lineage: Eukaryota; Metazoa; Chordata; Aves; Columbiformes; Columbidae. The transcript is spliced from 3 exons. The record is from RefSeq and is a predicted model, not a curated record.